Molecule: ribosomal RNA, 233 nt
Filed under: uncultured bacterium
Lineage: Bacteria
Description: partial 16S ribosomal RNA
Rfam family: Bacterial small subunit ribosomal RNA
Source: RNAcentral
CGGACGGGUGAGUAAUGUCUGGGGAAACUGCCUGAUGGAGGGGGAUAACUACUGGAAACGGUAGCUAAUACCGCAUAACGUCGCAAGACCAAAGAGGGGGACCUUAGGGCCUCUUGCCAUCGGAUGUGCCCAGAUGGGAUUAGCUAGUAGGUGGGGUAACGGCUCACCUAGGCGACGAUCCCUAGCUGGUCUGAGAGGAUGACCAGCCACACUGGAACUGAGACACGGUCCAG